AUACUUACCUGGCAGGGGAUGAUCACGAAGGUGGUUUUCCCAGGGAGAGGCUCAACUAUUGCACUCCAGGUGUGCUGACCCCAGAGAUUUCCCCAAACGUGGGAAACUCGACUGCAUAAUUUGUGGUAGUGGGGGACUGCGUUCGCAGUUUCCCCCG
Small nuclear RNA from Suncus etruscus (white-toothed pygmy shrew), 157 nucleotides. RefSeq annotates it as U1 spliceosomal RNA. The transcript has a single exon. The record is from RefSeq and is a predicted model, not a curated record. NCBI's taxonomy places the organism in Eukaryota, Metazoa, Chordata, Mammalia, Eulipotyphla, Soricidae.